CAAAAACAUAGCUAUAUGAUUUUACAUAUAGUUAUUUCUGCUCCAUGGUAUUGCUAAAUAGCCGCAGUACUCUGACUGUGCAAAGGUAGCAUAAUCAUUUGGCUCCUAAUUAGAGUCCGGUAUGAAAGAACACAUGGAAAGUAGCUGUCUCGGAAUAUUACUUCGAAAUUGGUUGUGAGUGUAAACCCUCACACAUCUAAAAAAGACGAGAAGACCCUAGAAACUUAUUGUAAAAGUUUUGUUGGGGCGACAGAAUUACACAUCAAACUAAUUUUAUAAAGCAGGACGCUGUGCAGGUAGUUAAAGUUACUCUAGGGAUAACAGCAUAAUACAUUCUGUUUGUGACCUCGAUGUUGGACUAGGUAAGAUAUUCCUUAGAAAGGAAUACGUAAGCUCUGUUCGAGCAGAUAAACCUACGUGAUCUGA
Molecule: ribosomal RNA, 426 nt
Rfam family: Bacterial large subunit ribosomal RNA